RNAcentral lists this ribosomal RNA (136 nucleotides) under uncultured bacterium. RNAcentral describes it as "partial 16S ribosomal RNA". It matches the Rfam family "Bacterial small subunit ribosomal RNA", at positions 355 to 509 of the family's 1533-position model. The record is from RNAcentral.
UGGGGAAUAUUGCACAAUGGGCGAAAGCCUGAUGCAGCGACGCCGCGUGAGCGAAGAAGUAUUUCGGUAUGUAAAGCUCUAUCAGCAGGGAAGAAAAUGACGGUACCUGACUAAGAAGCCCGGCUAACUACGUGCC